UAGAGAUUAGUUUAAUACAAAACAGCUACCUUCGAACUAGCAACUUUAGAUAUACCCUAAAUCUCUAU
This 68-nucleotide transfer RNA is filed under the name Phrynocephalus axillaris (toad-headed agama). RNAcentral describes it as "tRNA-Arg". The record is from RNAcentral. Lineage: Eukaryota; Metazoa; Chordata; Lepidosauria; Squamata; Agamidae.